GGACCCGCACAAGCGGUGGAGCAUGUGGUUUAAUUCGAUGCAACGCGAAGAACCUUACCUGGUCUUGACAUCCUGCGAACUUUCUAGAAAUAGAUUGGUGCCUUCGGGAACGCAGUGACAGGUGCUGCAUGGCUGUCGUCAGCUCGUGUCGUGAGAUGUUGGGUUAAGUCCCGUAACGAGCGCAACCCCUAUCCUUAUUUGCCAGCACAUUAUGGUGGGAACUAUAAGGAGACUGCCGGUGAUAAACCGGAGGAAGGCGGGGACGACGUCAAGUCAUCAUGGCCCUUACGACCAGGGCUACACACGUGCUACAAUGGGAUGGACAAAGAGUCGCGAAGCCGCGAGGUGUAGCUAAUCUCAUAAACCUUCUCGUAGUCCGGAUUGGAGUCUGCAACUCGACUCCAUG
Molecule: ribosomal RNA, 406 nt
Filed under: uncultured bacterium
Lineage: Bacteria
Description: bacterial SSU rRNA
Rfam family: Bacterial small subunit ribosomal RNA
Source: RNAcentral